UAGAAUUAUCACACCUAAAGGGAUGAAAUCCCUAAAGCUCUCCCAAUGGGCACGAUUCAGCCUCCAAGUGAGGUGGUGGAGGUUCGCGACGGCUUAUGGUGGCUCGGAGGUCUGUUGGUGGCGACGGAAAUUUCAAGGGAGUUCACGGUCUCCUCUCUCUCUUUUGAAGUUGCAGUGAUUCGGUUCUUCUCUCGGAUGGCUUGCGGUGGUUCUGUUGGCGGGGAUAUAAUCACGAUUGGGGUCAUCUCCUCCUCUUUUCCUCCUUUUGGUGGUGACAGAGGUUCAGGUCGCGGUGGUUUAAUGGAUUCAGGAUGGAAGAAUGGUAUCUCUUGAGGUAGGGGUUUACGGUGGUUCGGUAAUCCAUUCUCGCAGUGGCUUAAGGUGGUUCCGAAUCGGUAAUUUAUUAUUGCGGUGGCUCACGGUGGCUCCGAGUCGAAGGUGAACUCACCUUCUUCUUUACUUUUUAUUUUUUAUCCAGUCUAUUCGUCUCUUUCCUUUCGUUUUUACUUUUCGUUUUAUGAAUCGAUGGCUUUGGCAUCUGUUAUUGCUUCCUUCUUUUCGAAUAGAUGAUUUUCUAAUUAUGCUCAUAUGCAGGGUGAAACAUUAUUUAAGAUGUUUAUCGAACCAGGAUAGUGGCCCUUGUUCUUGCGCUGGUAAUGACGGAAAUGUCGUUGGCCCGUGAGUAAUUGCUCUUGGGCUGUCCGGCAGUAGUGAGUAUUAGCUUCGCUAAGGACUUUUCACACAAAGUGAUAUCAACACGAGUUGGUAUUUUUUACUUUAACAACUGUCCAAUGCUCCAAAAUAUGUGUGUUAGAUGUAUGUAUCUUAUUUGAUAUAUAGGUUAUCCUAAGGGUAUUCUACUUGUAAUUAUGUAAUGAAAAUGAUAGUUGUCUUACCUGAAUGUGUUCCUAUCUACACAUUGCUUUUACUGACUCCCUGCUGAGUUCCUGCUUUUUGUUCUCCGGUUCCUGCCUUUUGUUCUAUG
This 985-nucleotide long non-coding RNA is filed under the name Lupinus angustifolius (narrow-leaved blue lupine). Its description in RNAcentral is "long non-coding RNA (LANG_LNC001580)". Lineage: Eukaryota; Viridiplantae; Streptophyta; Magnoliopsida; Fabales; Fabaceae. The record is from RNAcentral.